RNAcentral lists this ribosomal RNA (429 nucleotides) under Bacillota bacterium. Its description in RNAcentral is "Firmicutes bacterium partial 16S ribosomal RNA". It matches the Rfam family "Bacterial small subunit ribosomal RNA", at positions 355 to 776 of the family's 1533-position model. Lineage: Bacteria; Bacillati; Bacillota. The record is from RNAcentral.
UGGGGAAUUUUGGACAAUGGGCGAAAGCCUGAUCCAGCAAUGCCGCGUGUGUGAAGAAGGCCUUCGGGUUGUAAAGCACUUUUGUCCGGAAAGAAAUGGCUCUGGUUAAUACCUGGGGUCGAUGACGGUACCGGAAGAAUAAGGACCGGCUAACUACGUGCCAGCAGCCGCGGUAAUACGUAGGGUCCAAGCGUUAAUUGGAAUUACUGGGCGUAAAGCGUGCGCAGGCGGUUGUGCAAGACCGAUGUGAAAUCCCCGAGCUUAACUUGGGAAUUGCAUUGGUGACUGCACGGCUAGAGUGUGUCAGAGGGGGGUAGAAUUCCACGUGUCGCAGUUAAAUGCGUAGAGAUGUGGAGGAAUACCGAUGGCGAAGGCAGCCCCCUGGGAUAACACUGACGCUCAUGCACGACAGCGUGGGGAGCAAACAGG